RNAcentral lists this ribosomal RNA (434 nucleotides) under uncultured Clostridium sp. RNAcentral describes it as "partial 16S ribosomal RNA". It matches the Rfam family "Bacterial small subunit ribosomal RNA", at positions 341 to 792 of the family's 1533-position model. RNAcentral also lists the same sequence under 1 other name. Lineage: Bacteria; Bacillati; Bacillota; Clostridia; Eubacteriales; Clostridiaceae. The record is from RNAcentral.
ACGGGAGGCAGCAGUGGGGGAUAUUGCGCAAUGGGGGCAACCCUGACGCAGCAACGCCGCGUGAAGGAAGACGGUUUUCGGAUUGUAAACUUCUUUAAGUGUGGAAGAAAUUGACGGUACACACAGAAUAAGCCACGGCUAACUACGUGCCAGCAGCCGCGGUAAUACGUAGGUGGCGAGCGUUGUCCGGAUUUACUGGGUGUAAAGGGCGUGUAGGCGGGAUUACAAGUCAGAUGUGAAAUACCGAGGCUUAACUUCGGGGCUGCAUUUGAAACUGUAGUUCUUGAGUGCCGGAGAGGAAAGCGGAAUUCCUAGUGUAGCGGUGAAAUGCGUAGAUAUUAGGAGGAACACCAGUGGCGAAGGCGGCUUUCUGGACGGUAACUGACGCUGAGGCGCGAAAGUGUGGGGAGCAAACAGGAUUAGAUACCCUGGUA